GAUGAACGCUGGCGGCGUGCCUAAUACAUGCAAGUCGAGCGAACGGACGAGAAGCUUGCUUCUCUGAUGUUAGCGGCGGACGGGUGAGUAACACGUGGAUAACCUACCUAUAAGACUGGGAUAACUUCGGGAAACCAGAGCUAAUACCGGAUAAUAUUUUGAACCGCAUGGUUCAAAAGUGAAAGACGGUCUUGCUGUCACUUAUAGAUGGAUCCGCGCUGCAUUAGCUAGUUGGUAAGGUAACGGCUUACCAAGGCAACGAUGCAUAGCCGACCUGAGAGGGUGAUCGGCCACACUGGAACUGAGACACGGUCCAGACUCCUACGGGAGGCAGCAGUAGGGAAUCUUCCGCAAAGGGCGAAAGCCUGACGGAGCAACGCCGCGUGAGUGAUGAAGGUCUUCGGAUCGUAAAACUCUGUUAUUAGGGAAGAACAUAUGUGUAAGUAACUGUGCACAUCUUGACGGUACCUAAUCAGAAAGCCACGGCUAACUACGUG
RNAcentral lists this ribosomal RNA (497 nucleotides) under uncultured bacterium. RNAcentral describes it as "partial 16S ribosomal RNA". It matches the Rfam family "Bacterial small subunit ribosomal RNA", at positions 28 to 507 of the family's 1533-position model. The record is from RNAcentral.